Molecule: ribosomal RNA, 490 nt
Filed under: uncultured bacterium
Lineage: Bacteria
Description: partial 16S ribosomal RNA
Rfam family: Bacterial small subunit ribosomal RNA
Source: RNAcentral
AUUGAACGCUGGCGGCAGGCCUAACACAUGCAAGUCGAACGGUAACAGGAAGCAGCUUGCUGCUUCGCUGACGAGUGGCGGACGGGUGAGUAAUGUCUGGGAAGCUGCCUGAUGGAGGGGGAUAACUACUGGAAACGGUAGCUAAUACCGCAUAAUGUCGCAAGACCAAAGAGGGGGACCUUCGGGCCUCUUGCCAUCGGAUGUGCCCAGAUGGGAGUAGCUUGUUGGUGGGGUAAAGGCUCACCAAGGCGACGAUCCCUAGCUGGUCUGAGAGGGGGACCGGCCAAACUGGAACUGAGGCACGUUACAGACGCCGACGGGAGGACGCAGUAGGGAAUCUUCGGCAAUGGGCGAAAGCCUGAUGGAGCAACGCCGCGGGAGUGAUGAAGGUCUGCGGAUAGUAAAACUCUGUUAUUAGGGAAGAACAAAUGUGGAAGUAACUAUGCACGUCUUGACGGUACCUAAUCAGAAAGCCACGGCUAACUACGUG